Molecule: small nucleolar RNA, 82 nt
Filed under: Catagonus wagneri (Chacoan peccary)
Lineage: Eukaryota; Metazoa; Chordata; Mammalia; Artiodactyla; Tayassuidae
Description: Small nucleolar RNA SNORA11 (ENSCWAG00000007798.1)
Rfam family: Small nucleolar RNA SNORA11
About the family: U107 (SNORA11) is a member of the H/ACA class of snoRNAs that guide the sites of modification of uridines to pseudouridines. This snoRNA was identified by RT-PCR from blood cells and its expression confirmed by Northern blot analysis. There is no predicted target for this guide snRNA.
Source: Rfam by way of RNAcentral
GGAAUCAACAGCAGGAAUCUGGGUGCAUUGUGACAAGAGGCACAAAACUUGUGGUCUGCCUGUGAACAAAUACCCGACACAU